GACGAACCGAGCGAACGUUGUUCGGAAUCACUGGGCUUAAAGGGCGCGUAGGCGGGUUGCCGCGUCCGGGGUGAAAUCCCACGGCUCAACCGUGGAACGGCCCCGGAUACGGGCGGCCUGGAGGGGGGUAGGGGCGGGCGGAACUCUGCGUGGAGCGGUGAAAUGCGUUGAUAUGCAGAGGAACUCCGGUGGCGAAGGCGGCCCGCUGGACCCCAUCUGACGCUGAGGCGCGAAAGCCAGGGGAGCGAAC
RNAcentral lists this ribosomal RNA (250 nucleotides) under uncultured bacterium. RNAcentral describes it as "partial 16S ribosomal RNA". It matches the Rfam family "Bacterial small subunit ribosomal RNA", at positions 524 to 773 of the family's 1533-position model. The record is from RNAcentral.